AUUGAACGCUGGCGGCAGGCUUAACACAUGCAAGUCGAGCGGGGUGAUGGUGCUUGCACUAUCACUUAGCGGCGGACGGGUGAGUAAUGCUUAGGAAUCUGCCUAUUAGUGGGGGACAACAUCUCGAAAGGGAUGCUAAUACCGCAUACGUCCUUCGGGAGAAAGCAGGGGAUCACUUGUGACCUUGCGCUAAUAGAUGAGCCUAAGUCGGAUUAGCUAGUUGGUGGGGUAAAGGCCUACCAAGGCGACGAUCUGUAGCGGGUCUGAGAGGAUGAUCCGCCACACUGGGACUGAGACACGGCCCAGACUCCUACGGGAGGCAGCAGUGGGGAAUAUUGGACAAUGGGGGGAACCCUGAUCCAGCCAUGCCGCGUGUGUGAAGAAGGCCUUAUGGUUGUAAAGCACUUUAAGCGAGGAGGAGGCCCUUUCGGUUAAUACCCAAGAUGAGUGGACGUUACUCGCAGAAUAAGCACCGGCUAACUCUGUGCCAGCCGCCGCCGUAA
RNAcentral lists this ribosomal RNA (503 nucleotides) under uncultured bacterium. RNAcentral's name for it is "partial 16S ribosomal RNA". It matches the Rfam family "Bacterial small subunit ribosomal RNA", at positions 30 to 523 of the family's 1533-position model. The record is from RNAcentral.